RNAcentral lists this unclassified non-coding RNA (292 nucleotides) under Hevea brasiliensis (rubber tree). The record is from RNAcentral. Lineage: Eukaryota; Viridiplantae; Streptophyta; Magnoliopsida; Malpighiales; Euphorbiaceae.
GGUGUGCAUUUGUCACACAAAACUGCUGGAAUGCUCUCUACAGUAUUUGACAUUGAAGGAGUCUUCGGAGGAAUUUCAGCUGGAUAUAUAUCUGAUAUGAUUAUGAUUGAGGCUCGUGCAGUUACUUCAAUUGUAUUCUUGCUGCUAUCAAUUCCAGCCUUUAUUUUGUACCGGGUUUAUGGGAGCCUGUCUAUGAUAAUGAACGUUGCGUUGAUGCUUCUUUCUGGUUUUCUUGUGAAUGGCCCUUACUUAUUAAUCACUACGGCUGUAGCAGCUGAUCUUGGUACACAGG